Molecule: ribosomal RNA, 270 nt
Filed under: uncultured archaeon
Lineage: Archaea
Description: partial 16S ribosomal RNA
Rfam family: Archaeal small subunit ribosomal RNA
Source: RNAcentral
CAGCACCUCAAGUGGUCAGGAUGAUUAUUGGGCCUAAAGCAUCCGUAGCCGGCUCUGUAAGUUUUCGGUUAAAUCUGUACGCUCAACGUACAGGCUGCCGGGAAUACUGCAGAGCUAGGGAGCGGGAGAGGUAGACGGUACUCGGUAGGAAGGGGUAAAAUCCUUUGAUCUAUUGAUGACCACCUGUGGCGAAGGCGGUCUACCAGAACACGUCCGACGGUGAGGGAUGAAAGCUGGGGGAGCAAACCGGAUUAGAUACCCGAGUAGUCC